This 496-nucleotide ribosomal RNA is filed under the name uncultured bacterium. RNAcentral's name for it is "partial 16S ribosomal RNA". It matches the Rfam family "Bacterial small subunit ribosomal RNA", at positions 29 to 507 of the family's 1533-position model. The record is from RNAcentral.
AUGAACGCUGGCGGCGUGCCUAAUACAUGCAAGUCGAGCGAACAGACGAGGAGCUUGCUCCUCUGACGUUAGCGGCGGACGGGUGAGUAACACGUGGAUAACCUACCUAUAAGACUGGGAUAACUUCGGGAAACCGGAGCUAAUACCGGAUAAUAUAUUGAACCGCAUGGUUCAGUAGUGAAAGACGGUUUUGCUGUCACUUAUAGAUGGAUCCGCGCCGCAUUAGCUAGUUGGUAAGGUAACGGCUUACCAAGGCAACGAUGCGUAGCCGACCUGAGAGGGUGAUCGGCCACACUGGAACUGAGACACGGUCCAGACUCCUACGGGAGGCAGCAGUAGGGAAUCUUCCGCAAUGGGCGAAAGCCUGACGGAGCAACGCCGCGUGAGUGAUGAAGGUCUUCGGAUCGUAAAACUCUGUUAUUAGGGAAGAACAAAUGUGUAAGUAACUAUGCACGUCUUGACGGUACCUAAUCAGAAAGCCACGGCUAACUACGUG